RNAcentral lists this ribosomal RNA (114 nucleotides) under Acanthosepion pharaonis. Lineage: Eukaryota; Metazoa; Mollusca; Cephalopoda; Sepiida; Sepiidae. The record is from RNAcentral.
UUACGGUCAAAUCACGCUGAAACACCGGUUCUCGUUCGAUCACCGAAGUUAAGCAUCGUAGAGCCAGGUCAGUACUUAGAUGGGGGACCUCUUGGGAACACCUGGUACUGUAAG